UGCGGAUGAACCACAUCUAAACAUCCACCGUUGAAUGCGGGUGGGAGAGUUCCGCCACAGAUGCUACUUACGUAUAUGCGUUUCCGUCUAGCUCACCGUCCCCCCCCCUCCCCCUCCCUUUCUUUCUGACAGGUAUUGGGGACGGUAACCAUUCACACACCCCGCACCCCCAUCGCGUUGGUUAGAUUCUACCGAUACCACCUUUCGAUGCUUUAUCCACACCAUCCACCCUCCCAAGCCGUCGAAGCUACCCGAAAGAUCCAAAGAUCCAAAGAAAAGACCCGACGAGAGACAAUGCAGUUUCCAACCCGACUUCGAUCCCGCGCCCGCCUCCCACCACCGGCCCUACCUCGACCAUCGCCCGUCUGUUUCUCCCGAUGCAAUUCUGGAGAUGCGGUUGGCGCAGUUGGUCGGUAAGCGCAUUGGCACGAGGUAGUCCGCAGACGGCUUUAAAGCGGUGCUGGACGAUCCUAACCCUAAGUUGAUUCAUGCAGAAGUCGACCCGAGGAUUGGAGUGGUAUUCUACACACAAUGUAGCAUACCCUGUUACUCGUUGCUCUGCCAUGUCGAGUUUGUACACUCUUCCCAGCACUCGACUAUCCGUCUAGCGGUGUCGGGUGGUCUGUCCUUUGAUAAGGAUUUGGGAGUUGCACUUUUCGACAAGUAUACCUUGGUUUGGCACGCUGGACUGUGUCGGGUAUGCGGUGUUUUUGUUCAGUUCUUCUUGUCACCGUUGCCUCUUCGGAGGUGGAACGAUAACGAAGAAUGGAAACCCAUUGUCUCUCCUCUCUCGUCGUUCUUUCAUCCUUGCUUCUUUCGUUCUUUCUAGCAUCGUUCCGAAGCGGGUUCUGGGUGGACAUGGAUAAAGAACCACAUAUCACUCGGUCUGAUCCACCACGUUUCUAUUUCCAAUCCCUCGAUAUUCAUCCCUUCCAACGGUAGCCGAUAGUUUGGUGGGGGUUGGGCGAUGUAUACACCACUCUACGGAGGCAAAGACCCAUCCCCUGUCCACACAUGCCGCACCGCUUCGUGGCGACUCUUUCUGAAUGGUGUGUGUGUUUUCCGUUGCGUACGCAAUGUGUGGAAACUCACCCCCAAUCACAAAGUCUGCCCCGCAGAUCAAUGCGCAAGUGUGGAUAGAAGAUUCGUCCGAGUGUGAUAGAGCUUAGUGCUCGACUCAUCCCCCUCCCCACCUCCGAAUCUUGGGUUUACCGUUUGGAGUGGGCCAUAUCGAGAUGGAAAGAUGCGGACGGGUUUUAAUUUUUCUUUCCCCCCCUCCC
RNAcentral lists this non-coding RNA (1280 nucleotides) under Ustilago esculenta. Lineage: Eukaryota; Fungi; Basidiomycota; Ustilaginomycetes; Ustilaginales; Ustilaginaceae. The record is from RNAcentral.